Eriocheir sinensis (Chinese mitten crab) is the source of this 1819-nucleotide long non-coding RNA. RefSeq lists it as uncharacterized. The record is from RefSeq and is a predicted model, not a curated record. Lineage: Eukaryota; Metazoa; Arthropoda; Malacostraca; Decapoda; Varunidae. The transcript is spliced from 3 exons.
AAGUGUGUGUGUGUGUGUGUGUGUGUGUGCGGCGGACAAUGAAAUCUAAUCUAAAAUAAAGAAUCCAGAGAGGUGGCCGAAAGAGAGAUCAAUUUCGGGAGAGAGGUGUUUUGAUACUCUCGUGGAUCGCUUUAACAUUAGCAAACGGUGUGGAUUAAGAAACUACAAAAGGAAGAUUGAGCUACAGAAUCUAACUUCACAAUCUCCCGAAAAGUGAUUCAAACGCGCAAAACGAGAGGUAGCCUUGGACCAUGCUAUCCGGGAACUCUAUUUAGCUUUUCCCGUGUAACAUGUGCAAGAGUUUCGUGUCUGGAAGGUCAAAUAACUGGCUGGUGGCAACAUGAAACUCUGAACACUGGGAUGGAGCGACGCUUGACUACUGUGAGGGAGAACAAGACACGAGAGGGGCCGUGAAGAGAGUCAGACCCGUCCAAAGAGAGGUAAGGAUUCUUCUACUGUGAUUGGUUUUAUAAGACGCAAUCGCUUCCCACAUCAGUAUUUCUAAAGGUCAAAGAAGGGAUCAUUUGGGUUCUAAUGUGUGUUUCUUUAGGUUCACGGUACAGAGGAAGGGUCAGACUACCACCAGGGUCAUAAAACUACCCCUGGAAAUGCCCACAACUCCUACGAAAGCCUUGUCAAAUAUGUGUUUCUAGGUUCACGGUACAGAGGAAGGGUCACACUACCACCAGGGUCAUAAAACUACUCCUGGAAAUGCCCACAACUCCUACGAAAGCCUUGUCAAAUAUGUGUUUCUAGGUUCACGGUACAGAGGAAGGGUCAGACUACCACCAGGGUCAUAAAACUACCCCUGGAAAUGCCCACAACUCCUACGAAAGCCUUGUCAAAUAUGUGUUUCUAGGUUCACGGUACAGAGGAAGGGUCAGACUACCACCAGGGUCAUAAAACUACCCUGGAAAUGCCCACAACUCCUACGAAAGCCUUGUCAAAUAUGUGUUUCUAGGUUCACGGUACAGAGGAAGGGUCAGACUACCACCAGGGUCAUAAAACUACUCCUGGAAAUGCCCACAACUCCUACGAAAGCCUUGUCAAAUAUGUGUUUCUAGGUUCACGGUACAGAGGAAGGGUCAGACUACCACCAGGGUCAUAAAACUACUCCUGGAAAUGCCCACAACUCCUACGAAAGCCUUGUCAAAUAUGUGUUUCUAGGUUCACGGUACAGAGGAAGGGUCAGACUACCACCAGGGUCAUAAAACUACCCCUGGAAAUGCCCACAACUCCUACGAAAGCCUUGUCAAAUAUGUGUUCUUGGGCUGCGAAAUAUCUCAUAAUUCGACCUGUAGUGUUCAUCAGGGCGAGGAGAGUAGAGGUAUAUUUAACAGUGCAAAGGGGACAUCCAAAGUCUAUAUACACCGAGUCAAGCCACGCGCAGGUUUGUGGGAGGAGACACGGCCGAGGAGGCGUGGUUUAUGCGUGACGUUGCUUGGAGCCAAACUAGAGAAUGUAGAAACAGGGAUUUAGAGAAAACGAGGAAAGGCGGACUAAUUUAAAUCAAUCACUUCAACAUGCCCUCCCUCACACCCCACACCGCCGUUUGUAGGCAUUGGAAUUACAGUCACGCAAUAGCACAAUAAAAAGACAUAUUUUCUCGUCAGUGGCUUGCCUGAACGCGCUGUGAAAGAAGGCGAGAAUGCACAUCCAGAGUGCACACACGGCCCCAACUUUAGUCACCCCUGAACUGCCGGGUAUUUUCUGUUUUGGCUCCAAGUGACGUCAUCCCGCUGCUCCGCCCCAAAACCGCCUUCUGCGCGUGACAUGACUUGGUAUAUAUAGACUUUGGUAGUGUUCAUCAGGGCGAGGA